GUGUCAGCAGCCGCGGUACUACGUAGGGUGCGAGCGUUAAUCGGAAUUACUGGGCGUAAAGCGUGCGCAGGCGGUUAUGUAAGACAGUUGUGAAAUCCCCGGGCUCAACCUGGGAAUUGCAUCUGUGACUGCAUAGCUAGAGUACGGUAGAGGGGGAUGGAAUUCCGCGUGUAGCAGUGAAAUGCGUAGAUAUGCGGAGGAACACCGAUGGCGAAGGCAAUCCCCUGGACCUGUACUGACGCUCAUGCACGAAAGCGUGGGGAGCAAACAGGAUUAGAUACCCUGGUAGUCCACGCCCUAAACGAUGUCAACUGGUUGUUGGGUGCAUUAGUACUCAGUAACGAAGCUAACGCGUGAAGUUGACCGCCUGGGGAGUACGGCCGCAAGGUUGAA
This 393-nucleotide ribosomal RNA is filed under the name uncultured bacterium. RNAcentral's name for it is "bacterial SSU rRNA". It matches the Rfam family "Bacterial small subunit ribosomal RNA", at positions 505 to 898 of the family's 1533-position model. The record is from RNAcentral.